GAUGAACGCUGGCGGUAUGCUUAACACAUGCAAGUCGAACGGACUCUUCGGAGUUAGUGGCGGACGGGUGAGUAACGCGUGAGAAUCUGGCUUUGGGUUCGGGACAACCACUGGAAACGGUGGCUAAUACCGGAUGUGCCGAGAGGUAAAAGAGAAAUUGCCUGAAGAUGAGCUCGCGUCUGAUUAGCUAGUUGGUGGGGUAAAGGCUCACCAAGGCAGCGAUCAGUAGCUGGUCUGAGAGGAGGACCAGCCACACUGGGACUGAGACACGGCCCAGACUCCUACGGGAGGCAGCAGUGGGCAAUUUUCCACUAUGGGCGAUCGCCUGACGGAGCAAUACCGCGUGAGUGAACACGGCUCUUGGGUUGUAAACCUCUUUUCUUAGGGAAGAACAAAAUGACGGUACCUAAGGAAUCAGCAUCGGCUAACUCCGUG
This 435-nucleotide ribosomal RNA is filed under the name uncultured bacterium. RNAcentral describes it as "partial 16S ribosomal RNA". It matches the Rfam family "Bacterial small subunit ribosomal RNA", at positions 28 to 507 of the family's 1533-position model. The record is from RNAcentral.